RNAcentral lists this small RNA (28 nucleotides) under Bombyx mori (domestic silkworm). Its description in RNAcentral is "ovarian small RNA-13401". Lineage: Eukaryota; Metazoa; Arthropoda; Insecta; Lepidoptera; Bombycidae. The record is from RNAcentral.
CAUCAUCUGCCAGGCUGAUUUGUGAGUC